This 475-nucleotide ribosomal RNA is filed under the name Bacillus sp. KOD02. Its description in RNAcentral is "partial 16S ribosomal RNA". The record is from RNAcentral. Lineage: Bacteria; Bacillati; Bacillota; Bacilli; Caryophanales; Bacillaceae.
UCGUUGCGCUUCUUGGAAUGGUCCAGAACUGUAGGAGACUGUUGAGAUCUCUAUCUCGCAAGGGGAAGCCCCCUGUCUCACUGUCCACCACGUACCAACAGCAGUCGAGCACAGCACUCUACAACCCAAUUCAGGGCGUUGCUCGCGUUGGGAACUAGAAUCAACGGUCGUAAAUCAACCCGUGAGAUUCCACUGACGGCCACUGUUUGGCCUCCUUCCACCCCUACUGCAGUUUAGUAGUACGGGGAAUACUGGACCCGAUGUGUGCACGAUGUUACCUACCAUGUUUCCCGACGUUCUGGCGCUCCAGUUCGGUUAGGGUAUUUUGGUAAGAGUCAAGCCUAACAUCCGACGUUGAGCGGAUGUACUUCGACCUUAGCGAUCAUUAGCGCCUAGUCGUACGGCGCCACUUAUGCAAGGGCCCGGAACAUGUGUGGCGGGCAGUGUGGUGCUCUCAAACAUUGGUGGGCUUCAG